RNAcentral lists this ribosomal RNA (528 nucleotides) under uncultured bacterium. RNAcentral describes it as "bacterial SSU rRNA". It matches the Rfam family "Bacterial small subunit ribosomal RNA", at positions 355 to 863 of the family's 1533-position model. The record is from RNAcentral.
UGGGGAAUCUUGCGCAAUGGCCGAAAGGCUGACGCAGCGACGCCGCGUGGAGGAUGACGGUCUUCGGAUCGUAAACUCCUGUUGCCCGGGACGAAUAGCGAGCUUCGCGCUCGCCUGACGGUACCGGGUGAGGAAGCACCGGCUAACUCCGUGCCAGCAGCCGCGGUAAUACGGAGGGUGCGAGCGUUGUCCGGAAUCACCGGGCGUAAAGGGCGCGUAGGGCGGGCCGAGCAAGGUCGCGGUGAAAGCCCGGGGCUCAACCCCGGGUCGGCCGUGGCAACUACUCGGCUCGAGCACAGUAGAGGCGGGUGGAAUUCCGGGUGUAGCGGUGGAAUGCGUAGAGAUCCGGAAGAACACCGGUGGCGAAGGCGGCCCGCUGGGCUGUGGUCGAAAGACCUUCUAGCUGACGCUGAGGCGCGACAGCGUGGGGAGCAAACAGGAUUAGAUACCCUGGUAGUCCACGCCGUAAACGAUGGGCACUAGGUGCUUGGGGGAGCGACCCCCUGAGUGCCGGCGCUAACGCAUUAA